This 253-nucleotide ribosomal RNA is filed under the name uncultured bacterium. Its description in RNAcentral is "partial 16S ribosomal RNA". It matches the Rfam family "Bacterial small subunit ribosomal RNA", at positions 524 to 776 of the family's 1533-position model. The record is from RNAcentral.
UACGUAGGGUGCAAGCGUUAAUCGGAAUUACUGGGCGUAAAGCGUGCGCAGGCGGUUGUGCAAGACAGAUGUGAAAUCCCCGAGCUUAACUUGGGAACUGCAUUUGUGACUGUAUGGCUAGAGUAUGGUAGAGGGGGAUGGAAUUCCGCAUGUAGCAGUGAAAUGCGUAGAUAUGUGGAGGAACACCGGUGGCGAAGGCGGCAUCCUGGACCGGUAUUGACGCUGAGGCGCGAAAGCCAGGGGAGCAAACGGG